GAUGAAGAACGUAGUGAAAUGCGAUAAGUAAUGUGAAUUGCAGAAUUCAGUGAAUCAUCGAAUCUUUGAACGCACAUUGCGCCCGCCAGUAUUCUGGCGGGCAUGCCUGUUCGAGCGUCAUUUCAACCCUCAGGGCCCUUUUGGACCUGGCGUUGGGGCUCGGCCGCUACCCUGCGGCCGUCCCCGAAAGAUAGUGGCGGUCUCGCUGUAGCCUCCUCUGCGUAGUAGUUACAUCUCGCACUGGAACGCGGCGCGGCCAUGCCGUUAAACACCCCACUUCUCAAGGUUGACCUCGGAUCAGGUAGGAAUACCCGCUGAACUUAAGCAUAUCAAUAAGCGGAGG
RNAcentral lists this unclassified non-coding RNA (343 nucleotides) under soil metagenome. RNAcentral's name for it is "partial contains 5.8S ribosomal RNA, internal transcribed spacer 2, and large subunit ribosomal RNA". The stretch from base 1 to 120 matches the Rfam family "5.8S ribosomal RNA", at positions 35 to 154 of the family's 154-position model. The record is from RNAcentral.